Molecule: ribosomal RNA, 427 nt
Filed under: uncultured bacterium
Lineage: Bacteria
Description: partial 16S ribosomal RNA
Rfam family: Bacterial small subunit ribosomal RNA
Source: RNAcentral
UGGGGAAUAUUGGACAAUGGGCGAAAGCCUGAUCCAGCCAUGCCGCGUGUGUGAAGAAGGUCUUCGGAUUGUAAAGCACUUUAAGUUGGGAGGAAGGGCAUUAACCUAAUACGUUAGUGUUUUGACGUUACCGACAGAAUAAGCACCGGCUAACUCUGUGCCAGCAGCCGCGGUCAUACAGAGGGUGCAAGAGUUAAUCGGAAUUACUGGGCGUAAAGCGCGCGUAGGUGGUUUGUUAAGUUGGAUGUGAAAUCCCCGGGCUCAACCUGGGAACUGCAUUCAAAACUGACUGACUAGAGUAUGGUAGAGGGUGGUGGAAUUUCCUGUGUAGCGGUGAAAUGCGUAGAUAUAGGAAGGAACACCAGUGGCGAAGGCGACCACCUGGACUAAUACUGACACUGAGGUGCGAAAGCGUGGGGAGCAAACA